AGGAUUAUUGCUGCCGGGGAGGAGGCUGAAGCUGCACUUUUACGAAGAAGAGAGAACAUGUAAACCAGUUAAUUAAACAUUCGGCAGAUUACUGCGAGUCGAUGCUUUUUUAUAUAAUCUCCCCAAAGGAGCUGUCAGUGACUUUAAACUCUAAAUUAAAAUAAUUGGGCAUCCCUUCGAAUAGAUGCUUCAAUUAAUGUGUUAGGCUGCCUUUUAUGCUGAAGUAUCUAAAUUUUCUGAGUUGUGAAUUGUAGGACCCUUUCGCAUUGUCUUUCUUUUAUUCUCAUAAGUGUGUUUUAUAAUUUGAUAACUCUUUUAUUUUAAUUACAGAGACCGAAGAAAUGUUCGAGAGGAGCAGGGAUAGGGAAAGACAACGUUUGUUAGAAAUUGAAGAGAGACAGAAAAAAUAGACGUGACCAGCAAGACAGAGAGUACAAAGAAGGGUUAAGAAGAGAUCAAGAGAGGGACCUACAACACCUCGUCGGUGCUGAAGGCGAAGGCAACAUUAGAGUCCGUCUCCGUGGAAGGGACACAACCUUCCAAAGACGUUUCACUGCUUCCGAUACAAACGAGCUCUUGUAUCAAGUGGCCAUUGCCAACCUGCGCGAGAGGAAUAUCACCAUCCGAAAUGCCAGUGGAAGAAUCAUUGAAAGAAAUGACGAUCCUAUUGACGUUGUAGACGCAACGACACUAAUGGUCUUUCAUGACUUGGGGCGGACACUACCAGGCCACCUUUUCCGACCUUUGGUUGGUAGUGUUGUGCCCAACCCUUGCUGGAGACCCAGAAGUAAGGGCCACUAUUGACUUAAGCAAUGUUACCCAGGAUCGCAUACAAGCUGCUGUAGCAGAGGCUGAGGCGAGACUGGCCCUUACAACCGAAUCAAUGUGAGUUUUGUUGAUUGUCUUGAAUCACCAUCACCAUCC
Long non-coding RNA from Nematostella vectensis (starlet sea anemone), 924 nucleotides. RefSeq lists it as uncharacterized. The transcript is spliced from 7 exons. Lineage: Eukaryota; Metazoa; Cnidaria; Anthozoa; Actiniaria; Edwardsiidae. The record is from RefSeq and is a predicted model, not a curated record.